RNAcentral lists this ribosomal RNA (468 nucleotides) under uncultured bacterium. RNAcentral describes it as "partial 16S ribosomal RNA". It matches the Rfam family "Bacterial small subunit ribosomal RNA", at positions 28 to 507 of the family's 1533-position model. The record is from RNAcentral.
GACGAACGCUGGCGGCGUGCUUAACACAUGCAAGUCGAACGGAAAGGCCCUGCUUUUGUGGGGUGCUCGAGUGGCGAACGGGUGAGUAACACGUGAGUAACCUGCCCUUGACUUUGGGAUAACUUCAGGAAACUGGGGCUAAUACCGGAUAGGAGCUCCUGCUGCAUGGUGGGGGUUGGAAAGUUUCGGCGGUUGGGGAUGGACUCGCGGCUUAUCAGCUUGUUGGUGGGGUAGUGGCUUACCAAGGCUUUGACGGGUAGCCGGCCUGAGAGGGUGACCGGCCACAUUGGGACUGAGAUACGGCCCAGACUCCUACGGGAGGCAGCAGUGGGGAAGAUUGCACAAUGGGCGGAAGCCAGAUGCAGCAACGCCGCGUGCGGGAUGACGGCCUUCGGGUUGUAAACCGCUUUCGCCUGUGACGAAGCGUGAGUGACGGUAAUGGGUAAAGAAGCACCGGCUAACUACGUG